CGGACGGGUGAGUAAUGUCUGGGGAACUGCCCGAUGGAGGGGGAUAACUACUGGAAACGGUAGCUAAUACCGCAUAACGUCGCAAGACCAAAGAGGGGACCUUCGGGCCUCUUGCCAUCGGAUGUGCCCAGAUGGGAUUAGCUAGUAGGUGGGGUAACGGCUCACCUAGGCGACGAUCCCUAGCUGGUCUGAGAGGAUGACCAGCCACACUGGAACUGAGACACGGUCCAG
This 231-nucleotide ribosomal RNA is filed under the name uncultured bacterium. Its description in RNAcentral is "partial 16S ribosomal RNA". It matches the Rfam family "Bacterial small subunit ribosomal RNA", at positions 99 to 334 of the family's 1533-position model. The record is from RNAcentral.